GAGGUAAGAGGAAGAGAGAAUAACCAAAAAAAGGUGGUUGGAAUAUGAGGACGGCUGCGUUGUAUGCGUAGUGGGAGAUCGUGUCAAGUGAAGUGUAGGACGAGGGUAAUUUAAUCCAAAUAGUUGGGAUGAAGUCAAAGGAGAAGAAGAAGAUUUCCUUAGAGUCUUAGACAAAUUACGCUAUUAUGAAAUUAGCAUGAUGUUAAACAAUUUGAAUUCUUUGGUUAACACGAUACCUAUAGAGACUUGAGUGACCGCGUAGUGUUUCAGGGUUAACAUUCCGGUCGAAUUUCACUGUA
Non-coding RNA from Cinara cedri, 299 nucleotides. NCBI's taxonomy places the organism in Eukaryota, Metazoa, Arthropoda, Insecta, Hemiptera, Aphididae. The record is from the annotation of a GenBank genome assembly.